RNAcentral lists this small RNA (88 nucleotides) under Thalassiosira minuscula. RNAcentral describes it as "partial Betaproteobacteria transfer-messenger RNA". The record is from RNAcentral. Lineage: Eukaryota; Bacillariophyta; Thalassiosirophyceae; Thalassiosirales; Thalassiosiraceae.
UUCAGAAUAGUAUAUGACAAUGGCAGAGCUACUCCAAAUGACAACGCCGUGGAUCGAAGAGACGUUCGUCUUUGGGUGCUCCUUUGAU